UGCACGCCGCAUUGACGGCGACCGAUGAGGUAGUGUACAUGCCGUGCCGAGAGGAAUUGUGGCGAUUUUUGUGUGUAUUAAUGAUCCAAAACCCCUGUGACUGCAUAACGUAGCUCUCAGUGUUUUUCGUGUGGUGUGCCGAUGCUAAUUAUCGUAGUUAUGACCCGGUCGCGCUUUCUUUGUUACCGGCUCAUGAAAAGCCGAUGGUACUCUCGCUGCGCUCGCAUUCCAUCACAGUGCGCGGAAGAAUUUUUUGAAAGUUGUGCUAUCACGUGCUGUAGUUCAUCUGCAAUUCUACGCUGUUGACGCCGGAGGCACCGUGCACAGACUGUCCUUCCUGCGGUACCUGUGCGAUGCGGCAGCAGCUGUCACGGAGACUCGUUUACCGAGCACGCCUAGAAAGGGAUGUCAGGAUUUUGUGAGCCAGAGGAAUCUACACCACUUGGGAGCCUGCGGCACUUCUGCAGGCUGAACAGCGCGUCAAAGCAUCUGAUUUGCAUGCUGCGACAAGGUGUGUGCAAGACGGUCACUGCCACACACAUGAGAUGUCGGUACUCACUACUUCAUUCCUUGGAAGCGAUAAUUUUGGUCCCAACCAAGCAGCCCGGAAGAAAUCGGAGACAAAUAAAAUGUGCAAAGAAUA
RNAcentral lists this long non-coding RNA (643 nucleotides) under Dermacentor andersoni. RNAcentral's name for it is "uncharacterized LOC126540365". The record is from RNAcentral. Lineage: Eukaryota; Metazoa; Arthropoda; Arachnida; Ixodida; Ixodidae.